AGAGAUGAACCCCAUUUAGGUCUGCAUCACUAAGUUUGUGCAAUUAAAAUUUGCAAUUUAUGGUUUAGCCUGUGCAUAUUUCAUAUUAUACAACACAAUGGUUAUAGAGCAGUUUCUCAUUGCAAUAGAGCUCACACACAGUGAGGUGAUUUUGUAAUUUGACUCCUUUGGGAAUGUCUUGGCAUUUUAUACUGAUUUAUUUUACUAAGAUUCUUCCUUUUCUAUAUGUAUGCAUAGUUUCAUGUGUGUAUAUUCUUAAUGGAUUAAUGAUCGUUAUUCCGUUUUUGUGAUUCUGCUCUUUUAUCCAGGAAUCAGCUACUAGAAAAUGUAUUCAGAUAGAAUGUUGUCAACUGUGUGUUUUAUACAUUGUUGCCAUUUGAAUUAAUGCUGUUAUACUGCUAUAGAUCCUCCCUGUAUGUUUUUAUUGUUAUGUUAUGCACGCUGGGAUUGUUACUAGGCAACCCGGUUUGCUUAGGUCACAUGAUACGACGUCAUUACGCACGUAAUGGCGGGCGCCAGUGGGCGUCUAUCACAGGGCGGUUUUGCAUCGCUAGAUGAUCACUUUGAUUAUUGGGUAAGUUUACUAGAUUCACGGCUAUAUAAUGAUUGUUUGUCACACUGUGGGG
Molecule: non-coding RNA, 626 nt
Organism: Pelobates cultripes (western spadefoot toad)
Lineage: Eukaryota; Metazoa; Chordata; Amphibia; Anura; Pelobatidae
Source: the annotation of a GenBank genome assembly